UNUCNGUAGUUCCCCUGCGGAUGCCACCAAAAGUCGGAUCGCCCCCGGGCGUAUCCGGCGUACAUCGCUGGUCCAGAGAAUGUCUCCCGGGAUAAAUUCUGGGGCGAGGCUCGCUCAGCGAGCCCGCCGAAACGCAUGCAAAGCGAUGGGCCUCCGGCUAGCGGAGGCUUACGGUACAUGCUGCCGAUCGGCGAACCGAAUGCCGAACGAUUUGCGAGGUGAACCUGCGGAAGGAUCAUU
RNAcentral lists this ribosomal RNA (240 nucleotides) under Stictis urceolata. Its description in RNAcentral is "partial 18S ribosomal RNA". Lineage: Eukaryota; Fungi; Ascomycota; Lecanoromycetes; Ostropales; Stictidaceae. The record is from RNAcentral.